AUUGAUUGAUGGUGCUUGCACCUGAUUGAUUUUGGUCGCCAACGAGUGGCGGACGGGUGAGUAACACGUAGGUAACCUGCCCAGAAGCGGGGGACAACAUUUGGAAACAGAUGCUAAUACCGCAUAACAGCGUUGUUCGCAUGAACAACGCUUAAAAGAUGGCUUCUCGCUAUCACUUCUGGAUGGACCUGCGGUGCAUUAGCUUGUUGGUGGGGUAACGGCCUACCAAGGCGAUGAUGCAUAGCCGAGUUGAGAGACUGAUCGGCCACAAUGGGACUGAGACACGGCCCAUACUCCUACGGGAGGCAGCAGUAGGGAAUCUUCCACAAUGGGCGCAAGCCUGAUGGAGCAACACCGCGUGAGUGAAGAAGGGUUUCGGCUCGUAAAGCUCUGUUGUUAAAGAAGAACACGUAUGAGAGUAACUGUUCAUACGUUGACGGUAUUUAACCAGAAAGUCACGGCUAACUACGUGCCAGCAGCCGCGGUAAUACGUAGGUGGCAAGCGUUAUCCGGAUUUAUUGGGCGUAAAGAGAGUGCAGGCGGUUUUCUAAGUCUGAUGUGAAAGCCUUCGGCUUAACCGGAGAAGUGCAUCGGAAACUGGAUAACUUGAGUGCAGAAGAGGGUAGUGGAACUCCAUGUGUAGCGGUGGAAUGCGUAGAUAUAUGGAAGAACACCAGUGGCGAAGGCGGCUACCUGGUCUGCAACUGACGCUGAGACUCGAAAGCAUGGGUAGCGAACAGGAUUAGAUACCCUGGUAGUCCAUGCCGUAAACGAUGAGUGCUAGGUGUUGGAGGGUUUCCGCCCUUCAGUGCCGGAGCUAACGCAUUAAGCACUCCGCCUGGGGAGUACGACCGCAAGGUUGAAACUCAAAGGAAUUGACGGGGGCCCGCACAAGCGGUGGAGCAUGUGGUUUAAUUCGAAGCUACGCGAAGAACCUUACCAGGUCUUGACAUCUUGCGCCAACCCUAGAGAUAGGGCGUUUCCUUCGGGAACGCAAUGACAGGUGGUGCAUGGUCGUCGUCAGCUCGUGUCGUGAGAUGUUGGGUUAAGUCCCGCAACGAGCGCAACCCUUGUUACUAGUUGCCAGCAUUAAGUUGGGCACUCUAGUGAGACUGCCGGUGACAAACCGGAGGAAGGUGGGGACGACGUCAGAUCAUCAUGCCCCUUAUGACCUGGGCUACACACGUGCUACAAUGGACGGUACAACGAGUCGCGAACUCGCGAGGGCAAGCAAAUCUCUUAAAACCGUUCUCAGUUCGGACUGCAGGCUGCAACUCGCCUGCACGAAGUCGGAAUCGCUAGUAAUCGCGGAUCAGCAUGCCGCGGUGAAUACGUUCCCGGGCCUUGUACACACCGCCCGUCACACCAUGAGAGUUUGUAACACUCCAAAGUCGGUGGGGUAACCUUUUAGGAGCCAGCCGCCUAAU
RNAcentral lists this ribosomal RNA (1427 nucleotides) under Limosilactobacillus fermentum. RNAcentral describes it as "bacterial SSU rRNA". It matches the Rfam family "Bacterial small subunit ribosomal RNA". Lineage: Bacteria; Bacillati; Bacillota; Bacilli; Lactobacillales; Lactobacillaceae. The record is from RNAcentral.